Long non-coding RNA from Carica papaya (papaya), 509 nucleotides. RefSeq lists it as uncharacterized. The record is from RefSeq and is a predicted model, not a curated record. NCBI's taxonomy places the organism in Eukaryota, Viridiplantae, Streptophyta, Magnoliopsida, Brassicales, Caricaceae.
GAAGAAAUUAGAGCGGUGUUUGUUUGAGGAUUGAAGGGCUGGUAAUAGAAGUAGAAUUCUUAGCUUAAAACUCCAGAAAAGAGUUUUUGCAAGCCACAAAACACUUGGGGCUGAGUUUGUCCAUAUUUGGGAACAAUUCUAAAAGAUGAGCAUUUUAUUUUUCUUUUGGUAAAUUUUUGGUUCUUCUUUAAGUUGUAUUGUGUAUAAAUUAACCAAAAAAGAGAAAUGAAACUACUAAGAAACCUACCAAACUGACCAUGAGAAUUGCAGAGAAUCUUAAGUUGCUGGAAAAGUCAAAUUGAGAAGAUGAAAUCUUGCUAUAUUUACAGGGCAAGUGUUAGCAGAGUAUGGAUGGAAGAACCCAGAUGCUGAAUUUCAAGUUUCAUCAUGUACAAUCUACACAGAUUGUAUCACCUCUACUUGUGUAUAUCAAGCUAAAAAAUUUGUUCUGCAUUGUAAUUUAUCAAAAUCAAAGUUCAUAAUGGUUUGUUCGUUGAUGGUUUACAAAA